Molecule: ribosomal RNA, 440 nt
Filed under: uncultured bacterium
Lineage: Bacteria
Description: partial 16S ribosomal RNA
Rfam family: Bacterial small subunit ribosomal RNA
Source: RNAcentral
CCUACGGGAGUCUGCAGUGGGGAAUAUUGCACAAUGGGGGAAACCCUGAUGCAGCGACGCCGCGUGAGUGAAGAAGUAUUUCGGUAUGUAAAGCUCUAUCAGCAGGGAAGAAAAUGACGGUACCUGAUUAAGAAGCCCCGGCUAACUACGUGCCAGCAGCCGCGGUAAUACGUAGGGGGCAAGCGUUAUCCGGAUUUACUGGGUGUAAAGGGAGCGUAGACGGCAGUACAAGUCUGGAGUGAAAUGCCGGGGCUUAACCCCGGGACUGCUUUGGAAACUGUGCAGCUGGAGUGCAGGAGAGGUAAGUGGAAUUCCUAGUGUAGCGGUGAAAUGCGUAGAUAUUAGGAGGAACACCAGUGGCGAAGGCGGCUUACUGGACUGUAACUGACGUUGAGGCUCGAAAGCGUGGGGAGCAAACAGGAUUAGAUACCCCAGUAGUC